Molecule: ribosomal RNA, 440 nt
Filed under: uncultured Alphaproteobacteria bacterium
Lineage: Bacteria; Pseudomonadati; Pseudomonadota; Alphaproteobacteria
Description: bacterial SSU rRNA
Rfam family: Bacterial small subunit ribosomal RNA
Source: RNAcentral
UCGGUUAGUCGGCACGAGCGCACCUCAUCUUCAGUUACUAACAGGUUAAGCUGAGGACUCUGGAGAAACUGCCGUUGGAAAAGCGGAGGAAGGCGAGGAUGACGUCAAGUCCUCAUGGCCCUUAUGGGCUGGGCUACACACGUGCUACAAUGGUAAUUACAAUAAGUCGCGAAAUGGCAACAUUGAGCUAAUCUUUAAAAAUUAUCUUAGUUCAGAUUGUUCUCUGCAACUCGAGAGCAUGAAGUUGGAAUUGCUAGUAAUCGUGGAUCAGCAUGCCACGGUGAAUACGUUCCCGGGUCUUGUACACACCGCCCGUCACACCAUGGGAGUUGGUUUUACCUGAAGCCGAUUUUUAAAUCGUCCACGGUAAGGUCAGCGACUGGGGUGAAGUCGUAACAAGGUAGCCGUAGGGGAACCUGCGGCUGGAACACCUCCUUUCU